Molecule: long non-coding RNA, 880 nt
Filed under: Equus caballus (horse)
Lineage: Eukaryota; Metazoa; Chordata; Mammalia; Perissodactyla; Equidae
Description: lncRNA (ENSECAG00000051177.1)
Source: RNAcentral
GUAUGUUCUAUGUCACCUCAAAUACAUUACUCAACAAAUUCGGAGUUGAAAUCACUGCCAGGACUCAAAUCCAACUAUAAUCAGUGGCUACAUCUGGAAAGGCUGCAUGGAGAUGUCCUUUAAGAUGAAGAUACCUGGAUUCUACCUCCAACUUUUUUCGGAAUCUGUAGUUUCAGAGUGUCUACAUUUCCACAGCUCUCCCAGAGAACUCCAUUUGGAACAUGACUCGGUGGCAAAAGAGUUAGGAAGGAGAGGCUCUGUCUUUCACUGGCAGGCAGCUGGAUGACAAGCACCUGCAAAGAAAUCCCUUGAACAACUGGAAAAACCAUUCAAGAUUCAUACCCAAGGGAUGGAGCACGGGGAAUAAAAAGCAAGCACCAGUGAAUGAAUUCAGCAGCCACAAACAAAUUACCAGCGACAUGUACCUUCCUGAGCGGCAGAGAAUUAUGGAGGCAAUAUUGCACGAUGGGAUAUGUAAGAACAGCCUUGGAGGUUCAUGUGUGGAUGGAAACCAAUUAAGAAAAGCACUUAGGAAAAUUGCUUUCCACUGUCUGGAUGAGAAUUUAUCAUGAGAUAUGGUUUUUAAGUGAAAAACCUUACAUGUAAACCUAGACUAAGUGUUUUGUCCAUGGUGACACACCAGGGGAAACAAAAGAGAUAAAAAUAGAAUGCUUGAAACCAGCCUCCUGAUGUAAUCACCAGACAGUUUACAAGUUUAUCUGAGGAGGAAGAGGUCCUAAUGCAACGUAGAACCUUAAGAGAGAGAUGUCAGCACAAGAAUUGCAGCAGCCAACUGACUGGGAACAAUAGAAAUGGAACUGAUUGCUUCGUAAAGAGUGAUACAAUUUUACCAAUGACACAGCAAAAGAAAACAAUUGCA